CCCAACCAGCCUGUUUGCCCCUCCCCUGAAAGGGGACAUGUGACUAUACCUGGAGAUGGUUUUAAUUGCCACAACUGUGGAAUGCUCUCAUCGUCUAGAGGGGUAGAGAUGAGGAAUGCUGUUAAAUAUCCCACAACGCACACAACAGAGAAUAAUCGCAGAAGGUCAAAGAGACACUACUGAUAAACCUCGCCUUCAGAGAAUGAACUCCUGAUCUCUCACUAACUCACCUGCCACUAAACCAAACAAAAUGUUGAUGGGCUUGAUGGUGACCAAGAACAUAUAGCAAGUCCUGGACCAUCAAAUAAUUUGAAGAGGAGCAGUGACCAGCUCUAGUGAUGCGCUUCUCUGAUUAUAUGCAUCAUCAUCUGAAAUCUGUUAAGCAUCUAGCCUCUCACUAUGUCAUCAUCAAGUGAUUGGCAAAGGGAAUUCAGUGGAACCUCUGUCCUCUUAAGAGUUUACAAUAUGAGAUGGAGAGUAAUGACUAGGCAGCACUUUAUAUAAAGGACCAAAUCUCUACCAGAGCUGCAAACAAGCAGUCAGAUGGAUUGCCCUGUGAGCUUUCUCCUCUACAAUGAACCCACAGAAAGGUCAGCAGCCGGACACAGAAAGAGGAGAAGGAUCCUGAAUAAACACAGACAGUUUAAUCAACCGUGAAGAAAUCCAAGAGUUGACUGAAAGUGCUUUGUCGGGAAGAGAAGCGAGGCCCCUGCCCUCAGAGAAAGGCGAGGAAGGUUGGAGGUCAUUUAGCAGCAGAGAUGGCCGCUGACCACAGAGGCCACCACGGAGGCACUAAGAGCCUGGUAAGGAGGUCAGUGGGGAGACUCAAAAGCCAAAGGCCAGGGGAUGGAGAGGGUAGGGUGGAAAGUGGCAUUUGAGUAUUUUCCAAAGAACCCAGCAAAUAAACGUUCCCUAGAAA
Long non-coding RNA from Phacochoerus africanus (Common warthog), 919 nucleotides. RefSeq lists it as uncharacterized. The transcript is spliced from 2 exons. Lineage: Eukaryota; Metazoa; Chordata; Mammalia; Artiodactyla; Suidae. The record is from RefSeq and is a predicted model, not a curated record.